RNAcentral lists this ribosomal RNA (437 nucleotides) under uncultured Oscillospiraceae bacterium. RNAcentral describes it as "partial 16S ribosomal RNA". It matches the Rfam family "Bacterial small subunit ribosomal RNA", at positions 341 to 792 of the family's 1533-position model. The record is from RNAcentral. Lineage: Bacteria; Bacillati; Bacillota; Clostridia; Eubacteriales; Oscillospiraceae.
ACGGGAGGCAGCAGUGGGGAAUAUUGGGCAAUGGGCGAAAGCCUGACCCAGCAACGCCGCGUGAAGGAAGAAGGUUUUCGGAUUGUAAACUUCUUUUAUCAGGGACGAAGUAAGUGACGGUACCUGAUGAAUAAGCCACGGCUAACUACGUGCCAGCAGCCGCGGUAAUACGUAGGUGGCAAGCGUUAUCCGGAUUUACUGGGUGUAAAGGGCGCGUAGGCGGGGAUGCAAGUCAGAUGUGAAAUCCAUGGGCUUAACCCAUGAACUGCAUUUGAAACUGUAUCUCUUGAGUAUCGGAGAGGUAGACGGAAUUCCUAGUGUAGCGGUGAAAUGCGUAGAUAUUAGGAGGAACACCAGUGGCGAAGGCGGUCUACUGGACGAUAACUGACGCUGAGGCGCGAAAGCGUGGGGAGCAAACAGGAUUAGAUACCCUGGUA